UGACUCCUGAAGAUUUGCCGUCAUAAACGUGUCUUUUUUCUUUGCUUUAGGAACACUUGUAAUGAUAACAAUAAGUAAACGUUUAUAGACGUAAACAAUUCUCUGUUGUUGUAAAUUCAGGGCACCCUAUGCACUGUACAACGAAAAUGAGAGAAGAAAAAACAGGACAGUGAAAAACUUACUGCUAGACUUUUUUCUCCAAGCUGUAUAUUUAAGUAAGCCCAUUAGUUUUCCCAAAUAAAUCUGCAAAUUAAUUGUUCAUAAUGGGUGGCGCAGUAGGGGACUGGUUACUAAGUUUGCUUUACCAUGCCAGAAUCCUGAGCUCAAAUCCUGGUCUCAUUCAACGUCUUUAUGGAGUUUGCACGUUUUACCUCUCAAUUUGGGAUUUUUCUUGGAGAUCAUCAAGACAUCUAGGCUGGGUUCAUUGGCUUGGGUGUAUGUGUGAAUGUACCAAACAAUGGCACUGUGCCUAAUGCUGCUGUCAAUAAAGGCUCGAACACCUGCA
Polypterus senegalus (gray bichir) is the source of this 505-nucleotide long non-coding RNA. RefSeq lists it as uncharacterized. The transcript is spliced from 2 exons. NCBI's taxonomy places the organism in Eukaryota, Metazoa, Chordata, Cladistia, Polypteriformes, Polypteridae. The record is from RefSeq and is a predicted model, not a curated record.